This 483-nucleotide ribosomal RNA is filed under the name uncultured bacterium. RNAcentral describes it as "partial 16S ribosomal RNA". It matches the Rfam family "Bacterial small subunit ribosomal RNA", at positions 28 to 507 of the family's 1533-position model. The record is from RNAcentral.
AUUGAACGCUGGCGGCAUGCUUUACACAUGCAAGUCGAACGGCAGCGCGGGCUUCGGCCUGGCGGCGAGUGGCGAACGGGUGAGUAAUGCAUCGGAACGUGCCCAGUAGUGGGGAUAGCCCGGCGAAAGCCGGAUUAAUACCGCAUACGACCUGAGGGUGAAAGCGGGGGACCGAAAGGCCUCGCGCUAUUGGAGCGGCCGAUGUCGGAUUAGCUAGUUGGUGGGGUAAAGGCUUACCAAGGCGACGAUCCGUAGCUGGUCUGAGAGGACGACCAGCCACACUGGGACUGAGACACGGCCCAGACUCCUACGGGAGGCAGCAGUGGGGAAUUUUGGACAAUGGGGGCAACCCUGAUCCAGCCAUGCCGCGUGCGGGAAGAAGGCCUUCGGGUUGUAAACCGCUUUUGUUCGGGAAGAAGUCCUCUGGGCUAAUACCCCGGGGGGAUGACGGUACCGGAAGAAUAAGCACCGGCUAACUACGUG